Molecule: non-coding RNA, 2110 nt
Organism: Jaculus jaculus (lesser Egyptian jerboa)
Lineage: Eukaryota; Metazoa; Chordata; Mammalia; Rodentia; Dipodidae
Source: the annotation of a RefSeq genome assembly
AUGGGAGUUGGGGCUCAGAUGAUUUUCCUUGUUGCACUUUUAAAAGGAGUCCAGUGUGAAGUACGGCUGGUGGAGUCUGGCGGAGGCUUGGUGCAGCCUUCAGGGUCCCUGAAACUCUCCUGUGAAGCUUCUGGAUUCACCUUCAGUAGCUAUGGCAUGAACUGGAUCCGCCAGGCUCCAGAGAAGGGACUGGAGUGGGUAGCAACUAUAUGGUAUGACGGAAGUCAGCAAAGGUACGCAAACUCAGUGAAGGGACGGUUCACCAUCUCCAGAGACAAUUCCAAGAAUAUGGUGUAUCUGCAAAUGAACAGUCUAAAAAACGAAGACACAGCCAUGUAUUACUGUGCAAAAGCCACAAAUGAUGCUGGUGGUCUGGACUUCUGGGGCCAAGGGACUCUGGUCACCAUUUCCUCAGUCUCUCAGUCCAAGCCAACUCUCUUUCCUCUCGUCUCCUGUGAGAACCCCAUGCCUGAUGAGAAUCUGGUGGCCAUCGGCUGCCUGGCUCGAGACUUCCUAACCAGCUCCAUUCCCUUCUUCUGGAACUACAAAAAUAACACUGAGGUCAUCCAAGGUGUCAGGACCUUCCCAGCAGUGCAUAUAGUAGACAAUACAUAUAUGGCUGUCUCGCGUGUGCUCCUGUCUUCCAAGGAUGCCCUUGAGGGCUCAGAUGACUACCUAGUAUGCAAAGCCCCACAUGGUACCAGCAACAAAAGCCGGAAUGUACACUUUCCAGUGAUAGCAGAGCUGCCCCCCAGUGUGAACGUGUUCAUCCCACCCCGUGAUGGCUUCUCUGGCCCUGGCAUUCGCAAGUCCAAACUCAUCUGCCAGGCCACUGGCUUCAGCCCCAAGCAGAUCACAGUAUCGUGGCUAGAGAAUUGGAAGCCUGUGAGAUCUGGCUUCAUCACAGACCAGGUCAUGGCUGAAGCCAAGGGGUCCGGUCCCACAACCUUCAGGGUCACAAGCAUGCUGACCAUCACUGAGAAUGACUGGCUGAACCUGAGGACGUACACCUGCAGCGUGGAUCACAGAGGGCUCACAUUCCUGAAGAAUGUGUCUUCCACAUGUGCUCCCAGUGCACCCACAGACAUUCAAGUCUUUGCCAUCUCACCCUCCUUUGCUGACAUCUUCCUCACCAAAUCAGCCAAGCUGUCCUGCUUGGUCACAGGCCUGACCACCUCUGACAGCUUGAACAUUUCAUGGGCCCGCCAGAGUGGUGAGCUACUGAAAACCCAACACUUUGACUCAAGCCACCCUAAUGGCACCUUCACUGCCAAGGGUGAGGCCAGUGUCUGCGUGGAAGACUGGGAAAAUGGAGAGCAGUUCACAUGUACUGUGACCCACAGGGAUCUGCCCUCACCACAGAAGAAGACCAUCUCCAGGCCUAAAGAUUUAGCCAAGCACCCACCUGCCGUAUAUGUGCUGCCACCAGCCCGGGAGCAGCUGAUCCUGAGGGAGUCAGCCACGGUCACCUGCCUGGUAAAGGGUUUCUCUCCCCAAGACGUCUUCGUGCAGUGGCUCCAGAGGGGACAACCUUUGUCCGACGACAAGUAUGUGACCAGUGCCCCGAUGCCUGAGCCCCAGGCCCCAGGCCUGUACUUCACUCACAGCAUCCUGACAGUGACUGAGGAGGAAUGGAACUCUGGGGAGACCUUCACCUGUGUCGUGGGCCAUCAGGCCCUGCCUCACAUGGUGACUGAGAGGACCGUAGACAAGUCCACCGAGGGGGACGUGAGUGCCGAGGAGGAGGGCUUCGAGAACCUGUGGACUACCACCUCCACCUUCAUUGUCCUCUUCCUUCUGAGCCUCUUCUACAGCACCACUGUCACCCUGUUCAAGGUAAAGUGACUCACCCAUGGAUGGAAGGAUACCAGAGACCAAAAGACCAACCUACAAGGGCACUACCUCGAGGCCUGGGGUGGGCUGGCCCGUGUGGCCAAUAAACCUGUUCCUCAAUCUUCCUGAUGUUGCCCUCCAUCUUUGAGCUCUAAGACACACUUCUCUCUAGACUGGCCAAAGGUCUUGCUCACCCUCUGGAGCCCAUGGCCAGGUGUGCCACAUGGCUGCGCUGUGUACAUGUGUGACUUGGAAAUAAAUAGUUUAGCUUGAGAAA